This is a non-coding RNA of Vicia faba (fava bean), 267 nucleotides long. Lineage: Eukaryota; Viridiplantae; Streptophyta; Magnoliopsida; Fabales; Fabaceae. The record is from the annotation of a GenBank genome assembly.
AUGAUGAGGUUUGGCAUAGGGAAAAAGUAUUGUGACGUUACAUUCUUUAUGAAUGAAGACCCUCUUCUCCAUCAACCACGGCGGCACGACAUCUCAACCUUUGCUCUUCCUUCUACAAAAGCUCUGUCGUGCUUCAUUCCAGACUCAUCUCCGUUUCCCCUCGCCUCGGAUCCAACAUAUCCAUUCAAACUCCGAUACCGAAAUAUCAUUCUCCUUAAAGCUUUAACGGCGACGUUUCUUCUUCUCCAUCUUCUGUUCGACCUUUGA